Physella acuta is the source of this 1533-nucleotide long non-coding RNA. RefSeq lists it as uncharacterized. The record is from RefSeq and is a predicted model, not a curated record. Lineage: Eukaryota; Metazoa; Mollusca; Gastropoda; Physidae.
AAAACUUUUCUUGGAAUUGAAAAAAAUCAAUAUUGACUGAUUAAAAUAUAUAAGUAAAAAAAUCGAUAUGCCGUUUAGUUUGAGUGUAGCUUUUAUAUCAGGCUAACCAGAAGUUAUACGUUGCAGGUUAGGAUUGAGUGACUCUUGAAUUCUUCAGUAUGAAGUGGUAUACGUCCCUGGCGAUAUGUGUCGCCAUCUGUGCGGCCUAUUACAUGUACCAGUAUCAAGGGAAGUCAACCUACCUUUUAGCCAGACAGCUACUACAGACAAGCUUGGGUUGUAACUACCCCAGAUGUCUGAAAGACUUUGAUCAGAUGGAGUUUAACAUCAAUGUGAACAACGAGGAACAGGUUUGUCUAGUGUUUGUUUACCGAAAAUGAAUGCUGGAAUAUUUUCAAGAACGAAUUUGCUAACAGCCCUCUUUCAAUAUGCGGGUAAAGUUUAACUUUUGGAAUAUCUAUAGUGGUUAAUGGAAAAUGGAUUUAGUUUAUAGUAAAAUCUUCUACGAAUAACGUAAAUACCCCUAAUAGAUGAAGAUGUUUGUACAACUUUUAUUACUUAUUAGUUACUUAUUACGUACAUUAGAAGAUCGCUAGCUAUAAGGCAAAAACUAUAUAAUUAAACACAUUAUUUUCUCUUUCCAUAAUGCGAGUAAACUCCACGGUGCAUUAACCUAUAACAAAUAUUAAACACAUCAGAAAAAUACGAUACAGCUUCAAUCAUCUGGCGUUAGAAAAACUGUUUAGUUUUAUGUAAUAUUAAUUUUUUUUUUAUCGUUUCUAAUAUCGUCGAGGCUGUAUUUCCAGAGGCGUACUUAAGCUGUUGGAAUGUGUGACCGACGGUUGCCCUAUGUCGAUUACACAGCAGUUCGAAAUGUUUGAUAGAAAGGAGAAGCAUUUACGAUCUCUAGAUAUUAAAUGUGAUAUCGAUAAAAUGAAAUAUAUAUAUUUGAAAGAACCCAAGUGUACCAAUCCCAACAUGUUUGUGUGUAAGAACAAGGCGUGCGUUCAUAAAAGUUUUAGAUGUGAUUCAGUUAACGACUGUGGCGACAACAGCGAUGAAUACGAUUGUUAUUUUUAUACUGUCCCAUGUUUUUCAUUGAAAGGCAAGAAACGCCAGUAACAAAUAAAUUUCAAAUGAGAACAAUAUGAAAAUCAAUUUUUAUUUAAUUGUAAUUAAUUAUCAGAGGCCCUUUGGUUGAUUAUCUAUGACAUUCAAACUUUGAUUAGCUAUUAAUGAUGGACACAUUUUUUUGCCGUUUACUUCGAAAAAAGUACUCAUUUGAGAUAAUUUAAAUUACUUCUUUUGACACAGCGCUUGCAGUUUUAAACUUUGCAUUUAACUUUUAAAAGUAAGAAAUAAAUACUUUAAUUUGCAAAGUCCCAUCUUAACAUUAAAAUUUCUGUGUGGAUUGCACCCAGCUGGCGCUGAUAGGGGACAACAGUCUUGGGUAUUUUAGCGUAGUUUAUGUAUCAAUUAACAUAAUUCAUUCUCUUAUAUAAAUCAUCAAUGCAGUUUUACACUACUUUAUAA